CCUAGCUUGCUAGGUGGAUUAGUGGCGCACGGGUGAGUAAUAUAUAGAUAACGUGCCUCUUAGUCUGGGAUAGCCAUUGGAAACGAUGAUUAAUACUAGAUACUCCUUCUAACUCUAAUGUUAGUUGGGAAAGUUUUUCGCUAAGAGAUCGGUCUAUAUCCCAUCAGCUAGUUGGUAGUGUAAGAGACUACCAAGGCAAUGACGGGUAGCGGGUUUGAGAGGAUGAUCCGCCACACUGGUACUGAGACACGGACCAGACUCCUACGGGAGGCAGCAGUGAGGAAUAUUGCACAAUGGAGGAAACUCUGAUGCAGCAACGCCGCGUGGAGGAUGACGCAUUUCGGUGUGUAAACUCCUUUUAUAUGUCAAGAAAAUGACGGUAGCAUAUGAAUAAGCACCGGCUAACUCCGUGCCAGCAGCCGCGGUAAUACGGAGGGUGCAAGCGUUAUUCGGAAUCACUGGGCGUAAAGGACGCGUAGGCGGGAUGC
Molecule: ribosomal RNA, 488 nt
Filed under: uncultured Campylobacterota bacterium
Lineage: Bacteria; Pseudomonadati; Campylobacterota
Description: bacterial SSU rRNA
Rfam family: Bacterial small subunit ribosomal RNA
Source: RNAcentral